RNAcentral lists this ribosomal RNA (447 nucleotides) under uncultured bacterium. Its description in RNAcentral is "bacterial SSU rRNA". It matches the Rfam family "Bacterial small subunit ribosomal RNA", at positions 355 to 825 of the family's 1533-position model. The record is from RNAcentral.
UGGGGAAUUUUGGGCAAUGGGGGAAACCCUGACCCAGCAACGCCGCGUGAAGGAUGAAGUAUUUCGGUAUGUAAACUUCGAAAGAAUAGGAAGAAUAAAUGACAGUACUAUUUAUAAGGUCCGGCUAACUACGUGCCAGCAGCCGCGGUAAUACGUAGGGACCAAGCGUUGUUCGGAUUUACUGGGCGUAAAGGGCGCGUAGGCGGCAAUUCAAGUCAUCUGUGAAAUCUCCGGGCUUAACCCAGAACGGCCAAGUGAAACUGUCAUGCUAGAGUGCAGAAGGGGCAAUCGGAAUUCUUGGUGUAGCGGUGAAAUGCGUAGAUAUCAAGAGGAACACCUGAGGUGAAGACGGGUUGCUGGGCUGACACUGACGCUGAGGCGCGAAAGCCAGGGGAGCAAACGGGAUUAGAUACCCCGGUAGUCCCUGAGCGGGCUGGCAAGGCGCAU